GACGAACGCUGGCGGCGUGCUUAACACAUGCAAGUCGAACGCUGAAGCCCAGCUUUUGUUGGGUGGAUGAGUGGCGAACGGGUGAGUAACACGUGAGUAACCUGCCCUCUUCUUUGGGAUAACGUCAGGAAACGGGUGCUAAUACUGGAUAUUCACUGGUCUUCGCAUGGUGGUUGGUGGAAAGGGUUUUUCUGGUGGGGGAUGUGCCCGCGGCCUAGCAGCUUGUUGGUGGGGUGAUGGCCUACGAAGGCUUUGACGGGUAGCCGGCCUGGGAGGCGGCCUGGGCACAUUGGGGGUGAGAUACGGCCUGGACUCCGACGCGGAGCAGCAGUGGAGGAGAUUGCGCAGUGGGGGCAAGGAUGAUGCGGCGCCGACGCGUGAGGGGUCGAGGCCGGGGGGUUGUGAACCGCUUUGGCUAAUGGUCAAGCCGGAGCAGUGGUGGUAGUGACGGUAGUGGGUAAAGAAGCGCCGGCUAACUACGUG
This 483-nucleotide ribosomal RNA is filed under the name uncultured bacterium. Its description in RNAcentral is "partial 16S ribosomal RNA". It matches the Rfam family "Bacterial small subunit ribosomal RNA", at positions 28 to 507 of the family's 1533-position model. The record is from RNAcentral.